Molecule: ribosomal RNA, 200 nt
Filed under: uncultured bacterium
Lineage: Bacteria
Description: partial 16S ribosomal RNA
Rfam family: Bacterial small subunit ribosomal RNA
Source: RNAcentral
UACGGAGGAUCCAAGCGUUAUCCGGAAUCAUUGGGUUUAAAGGGUCCGUAGGUGGAUGAUUAAGUCAGGGGUGAAAUCCUAUAGCUCAACUAUAGAAUUGCCCUUGAUACUGGUUAUCUUGAAUCAAUGUGAAGUGGUUAGAAUAUGUGGUGUAGCGGUGAAAUGCAUAGAUAUUACAUAGAAUACCAAUUGCGAAGGCA